RNAcentral lists this ribosomal RNA (119 nucleotides) under Salvator merianae (Argentine black and white tegu). The record is from RNAcentral. Lineage: Eukaryota; Metazoa; Chordata; Lepidosauria; Squamata; Teiidae.
GCCUAUGGCCAUACCACCCUGAACACUGCCGAUCUCAUCUGAUCUUGGAAGCUAAGCAGGGCCAUGCCUGAUUAGUAUUUCGAUGGGAGACUGCCUGGGAAUACCGGGUGCUAUAGGUU